UGGAUCCAGACUUUGAUCAUGGCUCAGGAUGAACGCUAGCUACAGGCUUAACACAUGCAAGUCGAGGGGAAACGACAUUGGAAGCUUGCUUCCGAUAGGCGUCGACCGGCGCACGGGUGAGUAACGCGUAUCCAACCUGCCCACCACUUGGGGAUAACCUUGCGAAAGUAAGACUAAUACCCAAUGAUAUCUCUAGAAGACAUCUGAAAGGGAUUAAAGAUUCAUCGGUGAUGGAUGGGGAUGCGUCUGAUUAGCUUGUUGGCGGGGGUAACGGCCCACCAAGGCGACGAUCAGUAGGGGUUCUGAGAGGAAGGUCCCCCACAUUGGAACUGAGACACGGUCCAAACUCCUACGGGAGGCAGCAGUGAGGAAUAUUGGUCAAUGGACGAGAGUCUGAACCAGCCAAGUAGCGUGCAGGAUGACGGCCCUAUGGGUUGUAAACUGCUUUUAUAAGGGAAUAAAGUGAGUCUCGUGAGACUUUUUGCAUGUACCUUAUGAAUAAGGACCGGCUAAUUCCGUGCCAGCAGCCGCGGUAGUACGGAAGGUCCGGGCGUUAUCCGGAUUUAUUGGGUUUAAAGGGAGCGUAGGCCGGAGAUUAAGCGUGUUGUGAAAUGUAGACGCUCAACGUCUGCACUGCAGCGCGAACUGGUUUCCUUGAGUACGCACAAAGUGGGCGGAAUUCGUGGUGUAGCGGUGAAAUGCUUAGAUAUCACGAAGAACUCCGAUUGCGAAGGCAGCUCACUGGAGCGCAACUGACGCUGAAGCUCGAAAGUGCGGGUAUCGAACAGGAUUAGAUACCCUGGUAGUCCGCACGGUAAACGAUGGAUGCCCGCUGUUGGUCUGAAUAGGUCAGCGGCCAAGCGAAAGCAUUAAGCAUCCCACCUGGGGAGUACGCCGGCAACGGUGCAACUCAAAUGAAUUGACGGA
RNAcentral lists this ribosomal RNA (927 nucleotides) under uncultured Bacteroidota bacterium. Its description in RNAcentral is "bacterial SSU rRNA". It matches the Rfam family "Bacterial small subunit ribosomal RNA", at positions 1 to 917 of the family's 1533-position model. The record is from RNAcentral. Lineage: Bacteria; Pseudomonadati; Bacteroidota.